CCGCGGGCGCGCCCAGGCUCCGCGAUGCUGCAAAUAAAGAACCCAAUUAUAUUCCGGUCGGAGUAUUUAGCCAUCGCGUUCCUUUCGCUUCUUGCUGCACCGAUGGGGAAACAGAGGUCGGGGAGAACCGAUGUGGCUUGCCCAGGGUCACCGGGCAAGUAAGAGGCUGAAUGGAAGAGGAAGAAAGGAGGUCCAAUCAGCGCAAUGCCAUCAAUGUAAUGGACUAAUCUUAUGUCCUUUUUGAAGAAAAGGGUGACCAAUCCCUGCAGUCUCAACCAUGAGAUAAGACUGGAGAACAGUGAAGGUGCAUUCCUGGUCUUGACAGCUAAAAGCAAACUGCUUCUGCUGGUCCUGACUAAUGUGUAAAGAGGCAACAAAGUAUUUGCCAGAUGAAGAGCUGAAGAGCUGGUCUGAAGGGAUGUGUUUGUUUUACCUUAGCAACAAAAUUGCAUCUGGAAUCACAGUUGUAACUGGAGUUACCACCUGGUCAAACUGAUGGUAAUCCAUGGUCAUCCUCUUGGAUCUGUCUUCCACACAGGCCAAAUGGGCGAGUUUAACAAGAAUAUGUUCCAAAGCUCCUCCUGUGAGUCAAGCAUCUGCUGAACCAUUGAUGGAGAGCCAGGGAGAUCAGCAUGGCCCAGAGGAAGAGAUACUGAGUGAGGAUUCUGCAAGACCACACAGGUGCCAUAGGAUGUUUCUGUCCCUGUCCUAGACUCUGCCUGUUUUUAAAGAAGUCCUAUUGCUUCUUACUGGAGAAUGGUGUCAGAAACCAAGUUCUGGGGAGGACCAAGAUCUGUGCUCAUUGCUCCUGGGGAUCAUAGCUCCUCAUCCCUCUAGACAGAACAGGGAAACACGUGUAUACUAAGCUGUGUAUAUGCACAUACCUAGACUAUUCCUAAAUGUAACAUGUGUAUCUAUAUUAAGCUAAACACAAAUCCAUGGUUUCUUUAGCUCUAAUACAUUAUCUCAUGAUCAUCUUAGCCUCCUUCCCUGACUCGUCUGUAAACUCUCACUCCAACAGUGAGAAACCUGACUCCCUGCAUUCCUCAUCCUUUUACUUUGAUCAGUUUCACUGCAUAUGUACAACAAUAAUAGAAUUAUUAACCUGCACCUCCUCGGGGAAAAACUUUAUUAGUCAGUAUUUUGUUUUAUACAUUUCUUUUGCCUUUAGAUUCUCCUGACUUCCAAAGUUGCUUAGAUCAGCACCUUUUAUCCCACUCGUUUUAGCAAAGUUGUUUUAUACCAUUUAAAAGAUAGUGAAGUGUCUUUUGUCAUGGGCUGCAUUUGUAUCCUGGGAUCUCUUAACCUCUUAAAUCACUAUUUUUUAAAAAUUUGCAUACAUUAAGAUUUCACUCUUCAAGUGUGAAAUCCUUUGGGUUUUGACAACUGCUUAAUGUUAUGUAUUUACCAUUUCAGUUAACAUAUAAAAUAUUCCUGUUACAGUCUGGAUAUGGAUUGUCCUCCACAAUCCUUGUGUGUUGAAAGCAUGGUCCCCAGUGCAGCAAGGUUUGGGGGUGGGACUUUGGGGUAAUGAUUGGAUCAUAAGGGCUCUGGCUUCAUCAGUGGAUUAAUCCAUUGAUAGCUAAAUGGACUAUUGGGAGGAGGGAUCUGGUGGAGGAAGUACGUUAUGGGGGAGCAUCCUGGAAGGGUUCAUCAUAUCCCUGACCCUUUCCUCUCAAUCAAUCUCUCUCUCUCUCUCUCUCUCUCUCUCUCUCUCUCUCUCUCCUCUCUCUCUCUCCUCUCUCUCUCUCUCCUUCCCAAACAGAGGAACAGAGCAUCUGUCUCCCACCAUACCUGUCCACCAUGAUGUUAUUCCUUACCUCAGGCCUACAGUAAUAUGCAGCUGGCUGACCAUGGACUCAAUCUUCUGAAAUCAGGAGCCAAAGUAAAUUGUUUCUCCUUUUUUUUUGUAGCCGAUUUGGUCACAGGAAUGAAAAGUGGAGUAACAUAUUUCAUGACUCUGAGUAAAUACAUCCUCUCUCCUCCCAAAUUCCUGGAAAACAACUGACUUUUUUUUUGUUAUUACUAUAAUUUUUUCCUUUUUAUAAUGUCAUGUUAGAAUGACUUGGUGUGUAAUUUUUUCAGAACUAGCUUCUUACAUUUAUCAAUAUGUACAUAAGAGUCAAUCGUGUCUUUCAUGGCUUAAUAUUUAAUUUCUUUUGUUAUUUUUGACUGAUCUGUUGCAUAGAUAUAACAUACUUUAUCCAUGCACUUAUUAAAGAAUAUCUUGGUUAUUUUUAGUUUACAGUUAUAAUGAAUAAAGCUGUUAUGAAAUUCUUGUACAGAUUUUUAUGUUGUCAUAAGUUUUCAAUUCAGUUGGUAAAUACCUGUAAGUAUAAUUUCUGGAUUGUGUGGUAAAACUCUGCUGAAAUUUCUGAAAAACUGUCCAAUUGUUUUCCAAAGUAAUUCUACCAUUCUGCUUUCUCACAGCAAUGAAUAAGAAUUGUUAGGUUUUUGAAUUUUAGCUAUUCUAAAUGGUGUUUAGUGAUAUCUCAUUGUGUUAAAUUGCAUUUCCCAAUGAAAAAAUUAAAUUGACCAUCUCUUUCAUAGGCUUGUUUAUCAUC
Non-coding RNA from Ictidomys tridecemlineatus (thirteen-lined ground squirrel), 2564 nucleotides. The record is from RefSeq and is a predicted model, not a curated record. NCBI's taxonomy places the organism in Eukaryota, Metazoa, Chordata, Mammalia, Rodentia, Sciuridae.